GCUCAGGAUGAACGCUGGCGGCGUGCCUAAUACAUGCAAGUCGAGCGAACGGACGAGAAGCUUGCUUCUCUGAUGUUAGCGGCGGACGGGUGAGUAACACGUGGAUAACCUACCUAUAAGACUGGGAUAACUUCGGGAAACCGGAGCUAAUACCGGAUAAUAUUUUGAACCGCAUGGUUCAAAAGUGAAAGACGGUCUUGCUGUCACUUAUAGAUGGAUCCGCGCUGCAUUAGCUAGUUGGUAAGGUAACGGCUUACCAAGGCAACGAUGCAUAGCCGACCUGAGAGGGUGAUCGGCCACACUGGAACUGAGACACGGUCCAGACUCCUACGGGAGGCAGCAGUAGGGAAUCUUCCGCAAUGGGCGAAAGCCUGACGGAGCAACGCCGCGUGAGUGAUGAAGGUCUUCGGAUCGUAAAACUCUGUUAUUAGGGAAGAACAUAUGUGUAAGUAACUGUGCACAUCUUGACGGUACCUAAUCAGAAAGCCACGGCUAACUACGUGCCAGCAGCCGCGGUAAUACGUAGGUGGCAAGCGUUAUCCGGAAUUAUUGGGCGUAAAGCGCGCGUAGGCGGUUUUUUAAGUCUGAUGUGAAAGCCCACGGCUCAACCGUGGAGGGUCAUUGGAAACUGGAAAACUUGAGUGCAGAAGAGGAAAGUGGAAUUCCAUGUGUAGCGGUGAAAUGCGCAGAGAUAUGGAGGAACACCAGUGGCGAAGGCGACUUUCUGGUCUGUAACUGACGCUGAUGUGCGAAAGCGUGGGGAUCAAACAGGAUUAGAUACCCUGGUAGUCCACGCCGUAAACGAUGAGUGCUAAGUGUUAGGGGGUUUCCGCCCCUUAGUGCUGCAGCUAACGCAUUAAGCACUCCGCCUGGGGAGUACGACCGCAAGGUUGAAACUCAAAGGAAUUGACGGGGACCCGCACAAGCGGUGGAGCAUGUGGUUUAAUUCGAAGCAACGCGAAGAACCUUACCAAAUCUUGACAUCCUUUGACAACUCUAGAGAUAGAGCUUUCCCCUUCGGGGGACAAAGUGACAGGUGGUGCAUGGUUGUCGUCAGCUCGUGUCGUGAGAUGUUGGGUUAAGUCCCGCAACGAGCGCAACCCUUAAGCUUAGUUGCCAUCAUUAAGUUGGGCACUCUAAGUUGACUGCCGGUGACAAACCGGAGGAAGGUGGGGAUGACGUCAAAUCAUCAUGCCCCUUAUGAUUUGGGCUACACACGUGCUACAAUGGACAAUACAAAGGGCAGCGAAACCGCGAGGUCAAGCAAAUCCCAUAAAGUUGUUCUCAGUUCGGAUUGUAGUCUGCAACUCGACUACAUGAAGCUGGAAUCGCUAGUAAUCGUAGAUCAGCAUGCUACGGUGAAUACGUUCCCGGGUCUUGUACACACCGCCCGUCACACCACGAGAGUUUGUAACACCCGAAGCCGGUGGAGUAACCUUUUAGAGCUAGC
RNAcentral lists this ribosomal RNA (1450 nucleotides) under Staphylococcus aureus. Its description in RNAcentral is "16S ribosomal RNA". It matches the Rfam family "Bacterial small subunit ribosomal RNA". The record is from RNAcentral. Lineage: Bacteria; Bacillati; Bacillota; Bacilli; Caryophanales; Staphylococcaceae.